This 922-nucleotide ribosomal RNA is filed under the name uncultured organism. RNAcentral's name for it is "bacterial SSU rRNA". It matches the Rfam family "Bacterial small subunit ribosomal RNA", at positions 427 to 1326 of the family's 1533-position model. The record is from RNAcentral.
AAAGGUCUGUCGUGAGGGAAGAAAAAGACCGAGAAUAAUACGUUCCGGUAAUUGACGGUACCUCACAAGCAAGCUCCGGCUAACUUCGUGCCAGCAGCCGCGGUAAUACGAGGGGAGCACGCGUUGUCCGAAAUACCUGGGCGUAAAGGGUACGUAGGCUUUUCUGUAUGUUUCCGGUGAAAUUCACAGGCUCAACUUGUGACUUUCCGGGAAUAACUGCAGAGAUUGACUCCGGAAUGGGAAAGCGGAAUUCCUGGUGUAGCGGUGAAAUGCGUAGAUAUCAGGAGGAACACCAGUGGCGAAGGCGGCUUUCUGGUCCGGAAUUGACGCUGAGGUACUAAAGCGUGGGUAGCAAACAGGAUUAGAUACCCUGGUAGUCCACGCCCUUAACGAUGGAUACUUGAUGUCGGGAUGUUCGGUCGUCUCGGUGUCGUAGCUAACGUGUUAAGUAUCCCGCCUGGGGACUACGGUCGCAAGACUGAAACUCAAAGGAAUUGACGGGGGCCCGCACCAGCGGUGGAACAUGUGGUUUAAUUCGAUGCAACGCGAAGAACCUUACCUGGGCUUGACAUAUAUAUGAAGUAUGUAAGAAAUUAUGUAUUCUGUCUGUUUUUUCAGACAGCAUAUAUACAGGUGAUGCAUGGCUGUCGUCAGCUCGUGUCGUGAGAUGUAGGGUUAAGUCCCUUAACGAGCGCAACCCUUGCUUUUAGUUGCCAUCAGGUAAUGCUGGGGACUCUAGAAGGACUGCCGAGGUUAACUCGGAGGAAGGUGGGGAUGACGUCAAGUCAGUAUGUCCCUUAUGUCCAGGGCUACACACGUGUUACAAUGGACGGUACAGAGUGCAGCUACGCCGUGAGGCUACGCAAAUCACUUAAAGCCGUUCCCAGUUCGGAUUGGAGUCUGCAAUUCGACUCCAUGAAGU